This 3662-nucleotide long non-coding RNA is filed under the name Sorghum bicolor (sorghum). RNAcentral describes it as "long non-coding RNA (SBIC_LNC014722)". The record is from RNAcentral. Lineage: Eukaryota; Viridiplantae; Streptophyta; Magnoliopsida; Poales; Poaceae.
CCAGAGUCAUCCCAUGAGCAAGCUUGAUUAGAGCUUGAUCAUGACGAAGUACAACCGCAGGAAGAACCGACAGGCCGACCUCUCCUCUAAUCCUCCUUCGCUCUCCAUCUUGCUACUAUCUAGAUCUACUCUAGUUUAGAGAAGAGAGGAGAGCUCUCAUCUCUAAACCCUAGCUUUUGCUCUGUCUAUGAAUAAUGAAUAAUGAUCAAGGGGUGCCUCCUCCAGGGGCCAGGGGGUCUGGUUAUAUAGUCCCCUCAAGUGAACCUGGGCCGUCGGAUCAAACCGACAUUGAUUGAACGGUUAUUCUUGAUCCUUUAGGUCGGUGGAGCAUAAUCCGCGAGGUUGAACGUGAUUGGCCACUGUAGCAGGGCGGGCGCCCUAAGGACUUGGGCGGGCGCCCAGGUCCUGGCUCCGUUCGGCCUCCGCUUCCUUCUCGUGGCUUCUGGAGUCUUCUAGAUGUAAAAUAAUUGUGCGGCACGUUGAUAUCUCUAUGUAAUCCCGACGUGUGGGCCAUUCUUCCGUAUUUCCUGAUAACCCCCUGCAGAAAUAGACAAACACCAAAACUCGUGGAAUUCUGUCAGAUAAAACCCUAAGUCUAGAUGUUGAUUUCAUUUGGAUCCUUUUCUUUGUUUAUUUGAUAAUUAAAUUUGAUACUUAAGGACCGUCAACAAACUCCCCCAAGCUUACCUCUUGCUCGUCCCUGAGCAAGGAUAGACUCAGCGAUGGAUCAGAAGUUGUUGCAAUAUCUUAAAAAUUUGACGGUACACAUGCUUUUAAAUAAGAUCUCAUCUCUGAGUUAGAGUAAACAGUCAAGAACUAAAACUUACUUACUUUAUCUUUCACCAUGGGACUGGUAACCGUCACUUCUGUCUUGAGUAGUCUAGCCAAGUGCCAUGUCUCUUAUUCUUGAUCAGCUAUAGCUCUAGAGUUUUUGCAGACUUUCAAAUAAAACUCAGAGAUUCCUUGUAUGACUCUCUAAAUCUCUCUUUUGUGGUUUUUCUGGAUCCUUACCAAGGCAUUGAUGGUAUAUGCCUUCUCUCAAGAUAUGUGGUAUUUGUGGUAUAAGGCAUAGUGACAUUGCCUUCUCUCUCACCCUACUCUAAUAAGGCUUUAAUAUCUGGAGCUCAUAGGUGGGAGACAGCUAAUACAUACUUACAAGACAUUAAUUGCAUAGUCAAACCAUGGAUCCAGAGAAACAAGUCAAUAAGUCAAAUCAAGAUGUGCAUGUGUGGCGAAUGAAUGGUGUAUGGUGAUGAUGGUGAUAACAAUGGUGAAAGUCUAAUUCUACUUUUGCUCUUUUGAGGGGAUACAUACCUUCCUUGCUUUUUGAAACUUUAUGAGGAGAAUGAGAUGCUCUUUCUUUUUCUUUCCUCUCAGGUGGGUAUCCUGUACCCCUAAUUCUACUGUCGGAUACUUGUCCAUUUUUACCUCUCGUCUCACUCUUUUUCUUUUCUUUCGAGGUUCCGGGCACUUGCCCCUUUUUAUUUCCUCGUUUAUUUUUUAUUUUUUUUCUUUUUUUUUCAGAACACUCAUCUCUUGAGAUAAUAUAGCAAGUGGUAGUAGCAAGAUAACUUGAGCAUUUAUUUCACAAGGGAAAACAGAAAUAUUUUUGGCUAUUCUCUCCCGGAUUAGGAGUAGAAUAUUUUUGGGUGGUUCUGGAGAUGGACAUGGAUGGAUAUAUGUGGAUGGUACUUCCGGAGUAGAAGUAGCAUAUAUGAGUGAACGUGCAAGUGAAUCUUGAUUUUAACCGCAUGACAAGCUCCUAAGGGUCUACACAGCUUGACCACACUCAAUGCUCAUAAGCAGUAAAUAGUAAAUGUGUGGCUCAAAGUCUAGCAAGCAUGUAUAUAUGGCUGUGGUAGGAAUUUAAACUUUCAUCAUACAGGAACUCAUCAUGCAAUAUUUUAAAGAUUUUUCAAAGAUAAAAUUCUCCAGAAUUCUAGCAUCUCUAGGAACAGAUAAACAACAGCUCAACCUUCCCAUAUCAUAUCCGUUAACAACUUAGAUUUCAGAUCAAGUUUUCAUCCCACAAGUUUAGAUCUAGAGCAAGCUUUAAAUUAUAACAGUUAUGUCUAAACUUGAGAGAGAACUUCAAAUUUGCAAAUUAGGCAGAGCAACUAUUCAUCAUAUCCAUGCUAGAGUUUUAUUAUUAAGAUUCAGAUUAGCAUAGCCACUUUAUUUAUUUAUUAAACACAUUAAGCAAAAGAUAUAUAUAUAUAUAAGCACAAAAUCUUUAUUUGGUUUUUCAUAGUUUAUGUAUUUUAAUAUUCUAAUAUAAUAUAAGUAUAAAGAUAGGUAGAAAUACUUAGCGUGAUAAAUGGGGGUGCUCUCCCCCAAGCUGAAUUUUGACGUAAUUUCUCUUGAUGUAGCUAGCAGGUGGUAGAGGUGUAUUUGGAAGUCAGCAGCAUUCUGACAGCGAUUAGAAUGUCCUCCGUCUGCUAGUCUUCUUGAUUCUUAAAUUCUGUGGAGCUCAAAUAGACAACAAAGCUUGUGGAACUAAUUAAGUGUUAGCAUAAAUAUCUAGCCUUCAUCAUGUUGAGCUUCCUCAAUAAAUAUUACUCCCUAUUUUUUUAUAAAGCAGAAAAGAAAUAUUUAUUUUAUUUUUAUGCCACCACAGUGAAGGUACUUAUGGGUUUUAUGCCACUCGUAUACUCAUAUGGGGCUUAGUAUUUUUUUAACAUUUUUAUUUUCUUUUCAAGAUAGCAUGAUUAACUAAUAAUCUAUUUAAGGAAAGUAAAUAAUUAAAGAGAAAAGGGAAUGCAUAAAGGAUAAAUAUGGAUAACUACCGAUCUUACCUUUCGGCGAUGGUUCAAUGUUUUAAGUCUUCUUGACAAGACUUCUCACCGUGUUCAUUCUUCAGGUGCGUCAUUUGAUUCAGGUGCGGACCUUGACGUCUGCACCUCUUGAUACGGUGUCAUCCAUCUUCUUCGUUUGCCCAGCAGUUCGAAGUGCGGCGUUGGCAGCAUCCUGCUCAGUGUGUUUGUGCUCGUAGAUCCAAGUCCUUCACUUGGUGGAAUCUGGGAGUUGUAAAACUCCACCAUAUUUUGCUCGAAGUGUACCUGCUCAUAGAGACAAGGCAGAGAUCAAGUGCAUGGGCCCUAUUGGUGGAAAACACCAACAGAACCAAAAGUGUAUUUGUUCUUCUCUAACCCUAAGCAUAGUGAGCAAGACAAAAGUUGAUGGAUGAAAAGUUCAUGAGUGUAGCACUUAUAACAUUUGUCAGAUCAGAUCGCUCAACCUUAUGGAAAGAUAAUCUAUCUAUGUAUAUGUCUUUUUCUUUAUAUCUUUCAAAGAUUGAAUGUGUAACAUUUUAGCUCAUGUGGGAUCAUGGAGGUAGUACUAAGAACAAGGAUUAAAGGACUAAACAUGCUGAAUCAGUUGGGUUGGUUAAUCUAGAGUUGUAAAUCAUACAUGUUUGUCUCUUUUAUUUAUAUGAACGCUAGAACCAAGGAGAAGCUUAUAAAAGUGAUAGUCAAGUACUUUAAGAUGUUACCUUGCUUGAAGAGUGAUGGUACAAUAUCACCUUGUGGAAGCUUUCCUUUCUUAGCGGUUGUGCAUCGUGUUUGUGGCACCCUCCAUGGAUCAUCUCUCUAUGAUGAAUGAGCUAUGUCCUUCUUGUGCAAAUUGUUAAACUUCAUGUGUCACUCUCUUUGUCUCUGAUG